GCACGCAGGCGGUCUGUUAAGUCAGAUGUGAAAUCCCCGGCCCUUAACCUGGGAACUGCAUUUGAAACUGGCAGGCUUGAGUCUCGUAGAGGGGGGUAGAAUUCCAGGUGUAGCGGUGAAAUGCGUAGAGAUCUGGAGGAAUACCGGUGGCGAAGGCGGCCCCCUGGACGAAGACUGACGCUCAGGUGCGAAAGCGUGGGGAGCAAACAGGAUUAGAUACCCUGGUAGUCCACGCCGUAAACGAUGUCGACUUGGAGGUUGUGCCCUUGAGGCGUGGCUUCCGGAGCUAACGCGUUAAGUCGACCGCCUGGGGAGUACGG
This 320-nucleotide ribosomal RNA is filed under the name Gammaproteobacteria bacterium. RNAcentral describes it as "bacterial SSU rRNA". It matches the Rfam family "Bacterial small subunit ribosomal RNA", at positions 567 to 885 of the family's 1533-position model. The record is from RNAcentral. Lineage: Bacteria; Pseudomonadati; Pseudomonadota; Gammaproteobacteria.